RNAcentral lists this ribosomal RNA (1431 nucleotides) under uncultured organism. RNAcentral's name for it is "16S ribosomal RNA". It matches the Rfam family "Bacterial small subunit ribosomal RNA". The record is from RNAcentral.
CUUAACACAUGCAAGUCGAGGGGCAUCAGGAAGAAAGCUUGCUUUCUUUGCUGGCGACCGGCGCACGGGUGAGUAACACGUAUCCAACCUGCCCUUUACUCGGGGAUAGCCUUUCGAAAGAAAGAUUAAUACCCGAUAGCAUAAUGAUUCCGCAUGGUUUCAUUAUUAAAGGAUUCCGGUAAAGGAUGGGGAUGCGUUCCAUUAGGUUGUUGGUGAGGUAACGGCCCACCAAGCCUUCGAUGGAUAGGGGUUCUGAGAGGAAGGUCCCCCACAUUGGAACUGAGACACGGUCCAAACUCCUACGGGAGGCAGCAGUGAGGAAUAUUGGUCAAUGGGCGCUAGCCUGAACCAGCCAAGUAGCGUGAAGGAUGAAGGCUCUAUGGGUCGUAAACUUCUUUUAUAUAAGAAUAAAGUGCAGUAUGUAUACUGUUUUGUAUGUAUUAUAUGAAUAAGGAUCGGCUAACUCCGUGCCAGCAGCCGCGGUAAUACGGAGGAUCCGAGCGUUAUCCGGAUUUAUUGGGUUUAAAGGGAGCGUAGGUGGACUGGUAAGUCAGUUGUGAAAGUUUGCGGCUCAACCGUAAAAUUGCAGUUGAUACUGUCAGUCUUGAGUACAGUAGAGGUGGGCGGAAUUCGUGGUGUAGCGGUGAAAUGCUUAGAUAUCACGAAGAACUCCGAUUGCGAAGGCAGCUCACUGGACUGCAACUGACACUGAUGCUCGAAAGUGUGGGUAUCAAACAGGAUUAGAUACCCUGGUAGUCCACACAGUAAACGAUGAAUACUCGCUGUUUGCGAUAUACAGUAAGCGGCCAAGCGAAAGCAUUAAGUAUUCCACCUGGGGAGUACGCCGGCAACGGUGAAACUCAAAGGAAUUGACGGGGGCCCGCACAAGCGGAGGAACAUGUGGUUUAAUUCGAUGAUACGCGAGGAACCUUACCCGGGCUUAAAUUGCAGUGGAAUGAUGUGGAAACAUGUCAGUGAGCAAUCACCGCUGUGAAGGUGCUGCAUGGUUGUCGUCAGCUCGUGCCGUGAGGUGUCGGCUUAAGUGCCAUAACGAGCGCAACCCUUAUCUUUAGUUACUAACAGGUUAUGCUGAGGACUCUAGAGAGACUGCCGUCGUAAGAUGUGAGGAAGGUGGGGAUGACGUCAAAUCAGCACGGCCCUUACGUCCGGGGCUACACACGUGUUACAAUGGGGGGUACAGAAGGCAGCUAGCGGGUGACCGUAUGCUAAUCCCAAAAUCCUCUCUCAGUUCGGAUCGAAGUCUGCAACCCGACUUCGUGAAGCUGGAUUCGCUAGUAAUCGCGCAUCAGCCACGGCGCGGUGAAUACGUUCCCGGGCCUUGUACACACCGCCCGUCAAGCCAUGGGAGCCGGGGGUACCUGAAGUACGUAACCGCAAGGAUCGUCCUAGGGUAAAACUGGUGACUGGGGC